GAGCUCGUGCCCGAGCAGAGGGGCCCGCCGCUCGCCGCCGGCCUUCCAGGGACGCGAACCCGGGGGCGGGGGAGGAGACUGCCCGAAGUGUUUUCUCGCUGUUGGUUUUGCUUUGCUUCGUUUCUAGGGCUGACUCCACCUGCCGCUAAGUAGGGGCUUCUCAAACUCUGGCGCGCGUCAGCGUCAUCUGGCGGGGGUGUGCGAGCUCACGGCUGGGCCCUACCCUAGGGCUUCGGAGUCAGUAGGCCCGGGAUGGGCCCCAAAGUAUUUCUAGCAAGAACGCCCCCUUGCUGGGAUCUUUAGGGCCCGCCCGUGCCCGGCGUGGAAUGCCGUGACGGCAUCUCAACUUGGGGACUUACAAGAGGCCCCAGAUACACCUGGCUUGUCUGCCUGUUGGAACAACAUCAAGAUUUGGGGAAGAAGAUGGCAACUCCCUGGCGGUCCAGUGGUUAGGACUCCGCGCUCUCCCUGCGGAGGGCAUCUCUGUGCUGGAGAUCAACGAGAGGAAUAAACUUAAGGUCUUCCCAGGGCUUUUCUGAGCCUGCACCCUUCCUAAGCCGCUAACAACCACCAUUCUCCUUUCUGCAUCUAUGAAUUUGAUGACUCUAUGUACUUCCUGUGAGUGGACUCAUACUAUGACUGGCUUAUUUCACUCAGCAUAAUAUCUUCAAGGUUCAUCCCUGCUGUAGCUCAUGUCAGAAUUUCCUUCCUUGGGCUUCCCUGGUGGCACAGUGGUUAAGAAUCCGCCUGCUAAUGCAGCGGACACGGGUUGAAACCCUGGUCUGGGAAGAUCCCACAUGCCGUACAGCAACUAAGCCCGUGUGCCACAACUACUGAACCUGCGCUCUAGGGCCCGCGAGCCACAACUACGGAGCCUGCGUGCUGCAACAACUGAAGCCCGCGCGCCUAGAGCCCGUGUUCUGCAUGCAAGAGAAGCCACUGCAAUGAGGAGCCCGCGCACAGCAACAAAGAGCAGCCCCCGCUCGCCGCAGCUAGAGAAAAGCCUGCACGCAGCAAUGAAGACCCAACGCAGCCAAAAAUAAAAUAAUUUAAAAGAAGAAAAGAAUUUCCUUCCUUUUAAAGGCUGAAUAAUAUUCCAUCGUGUGUUUAUGCCAGAGUUUGUAUAUCCAUUCAUCCACUGAAGGACACUAGGGCUGCUUCCACCUUUUGGCUACUGUGAAUAACGCUGCUGUGAACAUGGGUGUGCAGAUCUCUCUCUGAGAUCCUGCUUUUGAUCCAAGCUACAGAAUUCUGAGGUGCUUCAUCACAUAGCAGUAGACAACCAGCACGUUGAGCUGUGAUUAGACCUCACCAGCUGAAAUGGUGGGAGGAUGAUGGUUGCUGAAGCAGAGAAGCGCAUUGUCUGUGUCAGAGCAUGGGGUCCAGCUUUAGAGACUGGUCGCUGACUGGGUGCCACCAGGUCCUCCACUUAGGCGGUGGAAGCUCUCACUUCCCUGGCUGUUCGAUAGAGAGGAUGAAGCAGGUUACCGAACAGCAGCAGUUUAUAAAAGGAUUCAUGACUGUCGUCAAUAAGGAGGAGAGACUACUCUGUCUGUAUUCAGGCUGGACCGGCUGCUAACAUGUCCCCUCCACCAGGACGAUACUAGAGCCAAGUGUGGAAAAUCAGAGGUGAUUUGGUCAGGCCAGUGCUGGAGAGUUGAGAACCAAGAAUUAAAUCAACCUUGGCUUUCUCUCUUCUUUUUGUGUGUGUGUGGGGGGGCGGGGCAAGGGGCUGCGCUGCACGGCUUGCGGGAUCUCAGUUCCCAGACCAAGGGUUGAACUUGGGCCACGGCGGUGAAAGCCUGGAAUCCUAACCGCUAGGCCACCCGGGAACUCCUUCAACCUUGGAUUUCAUCACAGGCCUGAUGGGAUGGACUGUCACUGUCAAAGUUCACCAAGGCUGACAAAGGAAAGGAAGGAACCACGGCCACCUUCCUGGAGCAAGUCCAGUGGAGGUCAGCUCCAGGCACCAGGGUGCACCUGGGGAUCCUGCUCUGAGGAGGCGAGCCUCACCCUCUUGACGUUGGUGGUGGGGAAUGAGAGGUUCCCCAGCUGUUUUUAAAAAUAGUGUAUUAGGGCUUCCCUG
Lagenorhynchus albirostris (white-beaked dolphin) is the source of this 2086-nucleotide long non-coding RNA. RefSeq lists it as uncharacterized. The transcript has 3 exons. The record is from RefSeq and is a predicted model, not a curated record. Lineage: Eukaryota; Metazoa; Chordata; Mammalia; Artiodactyla; Delphinidae.